AUAACACAACCACAAACCCAACCUUUUGUCGCCUAAUAAUCUUCACGAAAGCCAGGUCCAGAAUACCAUCAACGCAGAUCGUCAGAUUAGAAGGCACCAAAUUUUCCAGAUACCCGGAAGCACAGCAUGCCCAACAGUCAGAUCCAUCUCCCAUGGAGAGGCCAAUCACCAUCGGUUCGAACAUCUGCCAACACACGCCAAAAAUAAAUAUCGGAGACCAGCAGAUGCAAAAACAAAUACAGAUCUAAUCCAUAUUAACCGAACACAAAUUCUGGGCAGCAGUCAUGAACAGAAUACGAACUCUAUACCUCCACUGCCGGUUAUCUCCAACCAAACA
This 337-nucleotide unclassified non-coding RNA is filed under the name Hevea brasiliensis (rubber tree). The record is from RNAcentral. Lineage: Eukaryota; Viridiplantae; Streptophyta; Magnoliopsida; Malpighiales; Euphorbiaceae.